RNAcentral lists this ribosomal RNA (253 nucleotides) under uncultured bacterium. RNAcentral's name for it is "partial 16S ribosomal RNA". It matches the Rfam family "Bacterial small subunit ribosomal RNA", at positions 524 to 776 of the family's 1533-position model. The record is from RNAcentral.
UACGGAGGGUGCAAGCGUUAUCCGGAUUCACUGGGUUUAAAGGGUGUGUAGGCGGGCAUUUAAGUCAGUGGUGAAAUCUCCAGGCUCAACCUGGAAACUGCCAUUGAUACUAUUUGUCUUGAAUAUCGUUGAGGUAGGCGGAAUAUAUCAUGUAGCGGUGAAAUGCUUAGAUAUGAUAUAGAACACCGAUUGCGAAGGCAGCUUACUAAACGAUCAUUGACGCUGAGGCACGAAAGCGUGGGGAUCAAACAGG